CGAAAGCCUGACGGAGCAACGCCGCGUGAGGGAUGAAGGCCUCUGGGCUGUAAACCUCUUUUAUCAAGGAAGAAGAUCUGACGGUACUUGAUGAAUAAGCCACGGCUAAUUCCGUGCCAGCAGCCGCGGUAAUACGGGAGUGGCAAGCGUUAUCCGGAAUUAUUGGGCGUAAAGCGUCCGCAGGCGGCCCAACAAGUCUGCUGUUAAAAAGUGGAGCUUAACUCCAUCAUGGCAGUGGAAACUGUUGGGCUAGAGUGUGGUAGGGGCAGAGGGAAUUCCCGGUGUAGCGGUGAAAUGCGUAGAUAUCGGGAAGAACACCAGUGGCGAAGGCGCUCUGCUGGGCCAUCACUGACGCUCAUGGACGAAAGCCAGGGGAGCG
RNAcentral lists this ribosomal RNA (379 nucleotides) under uncultured cyanobacterium. RNAcentral's name for it is "bacterial SSU rRNA". It matches the Rfam family "Bacterial small subunit ribosomal RNA", at positions 376 to 770 of the family's 1533-position model. The record is from RNAcentral. Lineage: Bacteria; Bacillati; Cyanobacteriota.